RNAcentral lists this ribosomal RNA (492 nucleotides) under uncultured bacterium. RNAcentral describes it as "partial 16S ribosomal RNA". It matches the Rfam family "Bacterial small subunit ribosomal RNA", at positions 29 to 507 of the family's 1533-position model. The record is from RNAcentral.
AGUGAACGCUGGCGGUAGGCCUAACACAUGCAAGUCGAACGGCAGCACAGUAAGAGCUUGCUCUUACGGGUGGCGAGUGGCGGACGGGUGAGGAAUACAUCGGAAUCUACUUUUUCGUGGGGGAUAACGUAGGGAAACUUACGCUAAUACCGCAUACGACCUACGGGUGAAAGCAGGGGAUCUUCGGACCUUGCGCGAUUGAAUGAGCCGAUGUCGGAUUAGCUAGUUGGCGGGGUAAAGGCCCACCAAGGCGACGAUCCGUAGCUGGUCUGAGAGGAUGGUCGCCCACAUGGGAGCUUAGACACGGACAAGACGCCUACGGGAGGCAGCAGUGGGGAAUAUGGGGCAAUGGGCGCAAGCCUGAUCCAGCCAUACCGCGUGGGGGAAGAAGGCGUCGGGGUUGGAAAGCCCGUUUUUGGGGAAAGAAAAGCAGCAGGUUAAGACCCCGCUGUUGUGACGGUACCCAAUGAAUAAGCACCGGCUAACUUCGUG